CUUGGUCAUUUAGAGGAAGUAAAAGUCGUAACAAGGUUACCUUCUGCAGCGCAGCUCCGGAGACCUUGCAACCCCUAGGGGAGGCAGCACGACAUUAAAUAAAGCUACCGUUUGCAAGUUGGCUAAUAGCCAGCAACACGAUCGAAUUGCGGGGACCUCCUAAAGCCUAUAACACCAACCGUCUGGGGAAACUCGGUCGGGGCCCUUAUAAGGGGUGGUAAGAGAGUAUAGGAUAUUACAAUGGACAAUCCGCAGCGAAUACCCUACCGGCGAGAGCCUAUGGGUACCGUUCACAGACUAAGUGAUUGUGGGAGGGGGGCUAGUUACCCCUUCUAAGAUAUAGUCGGCCUCUGUCCUAAUAGAUAGAGCUAGCGUGUCCGUAGGUGAACCUGCGGAAGGAUCAUUAAAAAAAAGAGAAACGUCCCGUUUUUUUUCAUAAGAAUGGGUUCUAUUCCCUUAAACCGUGUCUACAUACCUUUGUUGCCUUGGCAGGCCGCCUUCGGGCGUCGGCUCCGGCUGAUAGUGCCUGCCAGAGGACCCAAACUCUAUGUUUAGUGAUGUCUGAGUACUAUAUAAUAUUUAAAACUUUCAACAACGGAUCUCUUGGUUCUGGCAUCGAUGAAGAACGCAGCGAAAUGCGAUAAGUAAUGUGAAUUGCAGAAUUCAGUGAAUCAUCGAAUCUUUGAACGCACAUUGCGCCCCUUGGUAUUCCGAGGGGCAUGCCUGUUCGAGCGUCAUUAUAACCACUCAAGCCUGGCUUGGUAUUGGGGCUUUCGCGUGUUCGCGGCCCUUAAAAUCAGUGGCGGUGCCGUCUGGCUCUAAGCGUAGUAAUUUCUCUCGCUAUAGGGUUCCGGUGGUUACUUGCCAAAACCCCCCAUUUUUUCUAGGUUGACCUCGGAUCAGGUAGGGAUACCCGCUGAACUUAAGCAUAUCAAUAAGCGGAGGAA
This 947-nucleotide ribosomal RNA is filed under the name Hyaloscypha variabilis. Its description in RNAcentral is "eukaryotic LSU rRNA". The stretch from base 584 to 737 matches the Rfam family "5.8S ribosomal RNA". Lineage: Eukaryota; Fungi; Ascomycota; Leotiomycetes; Helotiales; Hyaloscyphaceae. The record is from RNAcentral.